UUAUGGCUCAGGACGAACGCUGGCGGCAUGCCUAACACAUGCAAGUCGAACGGAACUAAGGGGCUUGCCCUUAGUUAGUGGCGGACGGGUGAGUAACGCGUGAGCAACCUGCCUUUCAGUGGGGAAUAAUAUCCUGAAAAGGGUACUAAUACCGCAUAACGUAACGAGAUCGCAUGGUUUUGUUACCAAAGAUUUAUCGCUGAGAGAUGGGCUCGCGUCCGAUUAGCCAGUUGGUGGGGUAACGGCCUACCAAAGCUACGAUCGGUAGCCGGACUGAGAGGUUGAACGGCCACAUUGGGACUGAGACACGGCCCAGACUCCUACGGGAGGCAGCAGUGGGGGAUAUUGCGCAAUGGGGGAAACCCUGACGCCAGCAAUGCCGCGUGAAGGAUGAAGGUCUUCGGAUUGUAAACUUCUUUUGUCAGGGACGAAAAUUGACGGUACCUGACGAAUAAGCUCCGGCUAACUACGUGCCAGCCGCAGC
Molecule: ribosomal RNA, 484 nt
Filed under: uncultured bacterium
Lineage: Bacteria
Description: bacterial SSU rRNA
Rfam family: Bacterial small subunit ribosomal RNA
Source: RNAcentral